UCUGAUUCCAUUCAAACCCAGCCAAAUUCUUGACCUGGUCCACCGCAUUUUCUCCCCUUAUUUCCCCAAUCCAAAAACUGGAUCACAGAGACACAGAGAACAGCCUGUUCUUCGUUGUCCUCUUCCUCGUCACCCCUCUCAUGGUGUACGACUAGCAACAAAAAGCAGCAGGCGGGGGCACGCGUUUCCGCCCUGGUGUCGUGAGAUUGAGCCACGCAAGGUCCAGAGGACGAACAAAUUGAUCUGAGGCAUCAAUUUCCUUUUUCCUCUUUGUGAAUUAGUUAAAAUCCCCUAGAAAAGGUGGCCUCCCCUUUUUGGUGCAAGGAUUUGAAUUUCUUUUUGGGGUAAGACCAGGGGUUUAUCCGGUAUUCCACAGAAAUUCGGAACCCUAAUUUCUCAGCUAUAUAAUUCUUUUCUAGAUCCACUGUUAGAGGGGGGGGGGUUCUUUUUUUGGACUUUUGGGAGGGGUUUAUUUUUUUGGUAUUUUAGGAAAUUUUCAGUAGAAUAGUCGAGUAAGGGAUUGAAAGAAAUUUCGAAUUGAAGUUUUUUUUUCUCUUUUAGUUGAGGUUUUCUUUUGAAACCUCAAUAAGAGAUUUUUGGGGAUAGAAAAACAAAAUUGAAAAAAAAAGAAUUUUUUUUAGAGAUUUUAUUUAGGUGGGAAGAAAAGCAUGAGCGAUCAUUUUUUGGCUGAGGAAUUUAGCAUCAAACUUUAGAACAAAAAAUAGGCAAGGUAGUUAAAAUACAUACUAAAUACGUUAAGUAACCAGAGAGGAUAGCGGAUUCUAAUUCCACUUCCGCUGUUCUAUUUCACUUCCAACAUUCCUUCCGAGCUCAGUUGGGAUCGAUAUUUUCCUCGAGCUUGCUGUUCUUUUCUCGUGUGUAUGGUCGUGUGGAAGUCGUUUUCCGUUUAGCUUGUCUAGUUCUAUUCGCUGCCCCAAAGGAGGUAAAGUCUCUUUUCUUCGCCUUGAUUGUUUCACUUCAAAGUAUGCUUGUUCUGUUAUGUGCGCUUUUAAUCUAGUUUGAGUUUGCUUGUUGUUGUAUCGUUGAAAACAAGGAUAGGCAGAUUCAGUAUUUUGUCUCCUCUGUUGUUUUUUGCAGCGGUAAAUGUUGAAACAUUUUCAUGUUAGAUCGACCACUCUGUGUUACUCUUAUCAUCUUACUUUCUUAUAUUAGCUUUAAGAAAUGUUUACUUCUUAACCUUGGCAUUUAAUCCAUGGCGAGAUGUCAUCCUCUAUUAGACUAGUUGUGUCCUUUUGUGAUGGUUCAGUGUUUUGGUAAAAUUUGAAGACUUCUUAUCCUCCAUCUCCCUCUAGAAAAGUGGAGAGCAUAAAAUUUAAUUCACAUUUCCAUCUAAAAUUAUAUAUGCCUUCAUGGUACUUUGUCGAUAUUAUGUAUUGACUUGGCUCACGGCUAAAUAUUAAGAUCUCCCAACCAUCAUUUGGUUUAGUUGACACUGUUCUCAACUUCGUGAGUUUGAUUUCUGUUUUUGUACUAUUCUAGUUGUUAUUAUUUUUCUUCUAAAGUUGGAUUUUGUUUAAUCGUGUUCCUUUAAAUAUCACCAAAAAUGUAAUUUUUGGGGGGUCAUAGGAAGCAUGUCUUGUCGUGAUCACUACAUGUUAAUCAUCUUUUGAAUAUUAUAUUUGUUUUCCUUAGCUAUUGGUGUGACCUAUUAUGAUUAAAGUGGAUUUUUUACGUUAUAAGGUGUAUUGAUGUUAUUUAUUGUCGGUUUUGUUUUUCUUUCUGUGAAAUCUUAUCUUUAUUUACUUUCUUAUGCAUCUUUGUGUUAUAUUUUAUAUUAUUCUUCUGUUGAUUUCACUUGUUUUUUGUUUGAAUACUUUUGUUAAUUCUCUUAGGUUGUGUGAUUUCUAUAUUAUAAAUUUAGUAUUUAUUGUUCUAUUUUAAUGAUUGUUUAUUUGUUUUUCUUGUUAUAUAUAUAUUUCUAUAUUGUAUGUCGAUUAUUUAUAGUUAUCGUGGUGUAUUCUUCUGAUAAAUAUUAUACACUUUGUUAUACUUAAAUUAGUGUAUUGUCAUUUUCUAUUUACUGUAUUUUUUUUAAUUUUUUAAUUUUUCAUUUUUUUGGUAUGUGUGUAGUUGUACUAUUUUUGGUAGUUCUCACCUUAUAUUUUUUUUUAUCUACUUUUUAAUUUAUGCAGUCCAUUAAUUGUUUAUCCCCUUAUUUUUUUGUGAUUUCUUUUUCAAUGACUUUUCUUUUGUUGUAUGCAUAAAGGAUCAUUUUUAUUGGUUUGUGUAUACAUAGUCAUUUUAUAUGUUACGCUGCCAUUACCAGUACUUGUAUGAUUUUAGUUUUUUUUUCAAUUACCUUUGCUACAUACACUCCUUUUUCUUUAUAAUCCCAAAACUUUGAAGUGGGCUAAGAAAUUUUUAAAAUCUGAAUAGUUCAACACAAUUUAAGCUGACAUUUCCCCUAUUUAGAAGAGGGAGUUGAAAGGACCAACACAGCUUUAAAAACCUGUAUCCAAAGCUAUUUAAAUUGUACUUUGAAUAUGACUAACACAACUUUAAGGACAAAAAAUACAGCUUUAAAAAGCUGUUCCCAAAGCUAUUUAAAUUGUACUUUAAAUAUAUAAUAUAUAUUUUCUUUUAUUUAACAAGGAUAAUUAUGUAAUUUUAUCAUUAAAUUUGGACAUUUGUGCAGCAUGAACAAGGGAAGAUGGGUAAUUUCGUUAUUGUCUAUCCACUUUACUUCUUUCCUUCUUUGCUUCUCCUCCACAUUUGCUUCUACAUUGAUUUCUCCGCCACAAUUCCUCUCCAUUAAUCUCCAUUUCUCCUCAAAUUUCGCUUCAAUGUUGCUGUCCAGAUAAUACAAAUUAGAGGUUUUAUCGCAUAGUGGUCAGAAAUUAGAGAGAAGAAGAGGUGUAGAAUACAACUCAGAUAACAAUCUUUUUGAGCUUAAAUUUGAACAAAUUAUUGUUUUGUUCUUGCAUGCAGCAUCAGAUUUCAUUCUUGUAGCCAUGAGAUUAUUUUGGUGUGUUUUGUUUCUGCUCUUCAAAUUUGAAUGCUUCAACAAAGGUUGUUCAUCUUCUCAACUUAUAAGCUUGUACAUAAGCUUCUAUUAAUCACAGAAUUAAGGUGAUAAUUGACUCAAAUAUUGGUAGGGCGACAAGUAGUCAACAGAUCGUCACUUGGUUGUUGAUCAAUAUAUGGUAAACGUUAGCCACUCUCUGUUAAAUGUAUUUUAAAAAGGAUUCAGCGAGGACAUAAUCUCUAUUUUUCUCGACAAGGAACUUAAGUUGGUAAUUAGCAACUGUCUAGAUAUCAAUCAUAUUUUGCAUUAUAAUCUUAUUAGUUAAUUCAUGUGGUAAUCAUAUCUUGAUAGUUUUCCAUCGAUAUCAACAAAGAGCUUCUUCUUGUGUUCAAUCUUUUCCUUGUUUUGCCGCUGAUGACUUAAGGCAAAUACAAACACUCUGCAUAUUUGUAUCAUCUCUUAUUAAUUUGUUCGAAAAUAUUGUUUUAGAUUUAAGCAAGAAAAACAAAGUUCACCUUCUUCAUUUUAUCUAGGACCUGAAAGCACUGCGGCCUUGGAAAGGUGUAAAAAGCGUAUUGAACUUAUUGCAAACACUCUAUAACUAGAAGGAUUUUCGCGUAUUGAUGCGUUUGUUCAUGCUGACACUGGCGAGGCACUUUCAGAGCAACCUCCCCUGUAUCCGCAACAGCUCUUCCGCACGUUGCUUGAUCUGGCAUCAAAGAGAUCUAUGUGAAUAUAAUUAUAUCAGAAGAUUUCAGGAAUGGAAGAAAAUAGAGAUAAUGUGUCUGCCCAAGAAAGAACUUCUGAGAGAAAUUUGCGUCGUCGUACCAGAUAUGCACAGAUGUCACCAGAGAGAAAGCAAUUAUUUUUAUCCGAGCUAAGAGAAAAAAGGGCUAAGUCAAAAAGACAAAAACACCUUCAUCAAUCAAAUACUACUGCCGCUCUUACAAUCAGUAGUUCUUCAUUAUCGCCUCAAGAAGUUGAAGCUUCUGAAGCCACAAGCCUACCAGUUACUUUAACUACAGGACAUCAUCGAUCAAAUAGUACUGGCGCCCUUACAAUCAACACUUCUUCGUUAUCUCCUCAACAAGUUAAAUCUUUCGAAGUUACAAAUCUACCAGUUAAUUUAACUAUAGGAGAACAUCAAUUAAAUAGUACUGGCGCCCUUACAAUCGGCACUUCUUUGUUAUUUCCUCAAGAAGUUGAAGCUUCUGAAGCUUUAAACCUACCAGUUACUUCAACUAGAGGAGAAAGUAUAGUUAAUUGCUUAUCUACCUUUGAAGUAGGAUCAACGUCGAGUGCAUCUUAUGCUGCAAGUAGAUCAAGUUCAAGUCGUACUUCAAAUAGAGGAGCUUUUUUCAUUGAUGGUCCUGGGGGAACUGGAAAAACAUUUCUAUAUCGAGCUUUGUUGGCUGUUGUAAGAACAAAAGGAUUCAUAGCUUUGGCAACUGCAAGUUCUGGUGUGGCAGCUUCAAUACUUCCGGGAGGACGAACAGCUCAUUCACGUAUUAAAAUUCCUGUUGACAUCGAUGACAAUUUCACUUGCAAUAUUAAAAAACAAAGUUCGUUAGCGAUUCUAAUUCGAGAUUCAAAACUAAUUGUUUGGGAUGAAGUCUCAAUGGCAAAAAAAAACAUGAUUGAAGCUCUUGAUACACUUCUAAAAGAUCUUAUGAAUACAAGAGCACUGUUUGGUGGAAAAGUAGUAGUUUUGGGGGGGGGGGCUUUAGACAAACACUUCCUGUUGUUCUUAGUGUAAAAAAAGAAGACUUUAUAAAUCAAAGUUUAUUAUACUCCCGUAUUUGGAAUCAUCUUGAAAAAUUGUCCUUAUCUGAAAACAUGCGUGCGAAAAAAAGAUCCAGCAUUUUGUGCAUAUUUAAUGGGAAUUGGAAAUGGGCAAGAAAAAACUAACAAUUGCAACAAAAUUGAAAUUCCCAAUAAUUUUAUCAUUCCCUUUACAGAUGAAAUAGAAUCUUUAAAUAUUUUAUUUAAUGUUACUUAUCCUAAUUUGCGUACAUUCUAUUGUAAUCCACCUUUUAUGAAUUCCCGUAUUAUUUUGACAACAAAAAAUGAUUUUGUUGAUGAAAUAAAUGAUAUGCUUAUACAUCGAUUUCCCGAUGAUGCUACAGUAUAUACGGCUAUUGAUGAAACUAUAGAACCAAAUGAUCAAUGCCAAUUUGAAGAUUUUUUGCAUACCUUACAUCCUGCUAACUUACCACCUUAUAGAUUAACUUUGAAAAAAAAUUGUCCAGUUAUAUAAUUAAGAAACCUAAAUCCUACUGAAGGUUUAUGCAAUGGUACACGAUUGAUAUGUCAUGAUUUUAAGUCAAAUGUUAUUAGUGCUACUAUUUGCAGUGGUGAUUUUAAAGAUAAACAUGUCUUUAUUCCAAAGAUACCAUUACUAGCAUCACAAGAUGAGAAACAUCCAGUUCCCUUCAAAAUAAUACAAUUUCCGAUAAGAUUAUGUUUUGCUAUGACUAUAAACAAAGCUCAAGGUCAAACAUUAGAUUUUGUUGGAAUAUAUUUGCGUGAACCAGUUUUUUCACAUGGACAACUUUAUGUUGCUUUAUCUCGAGCAAAAUGUUCAGACAAUGUAAAAAUGUUAAUACGUCCACCAACUGCACAGGACACAGAUGGUCAUUCUACAUAUAAUGUAGUUUAUGACGAAAUCAUUCGAAAAGCAUUGUCAUGAUACUUUUAAAAGUAAUAAGUGCAACAACAACAACUUUCCCUAUAAGGGUAACUAUUUUUGUAGUUCUAGAUGAAGGAAAUGACAGAGAAGAACUACCUCUUAAUGCUUCAAAUUUUCUUAUUUCAGAUUAUACAAGUGCAAAUAAGUGAUGAUGAGUUGUAGUGGUAUUCUCCUAAGAGAGUAGAGAAAUUUCAAGAUUAAAAUCUCUCAUUAGGAUUUUUUCCCAUUUUCCAUUUGUAACACUUGCCAUGAGGUGACAUGAUUCAAUAACAACUAACUCAGUUACCCCAAUGAAUUCAACACCUGAAGCAUUAGAUGCACUGAACACUUAUGGAUGGUAUAUAGGUAUCGUACUUUCUGAAGCCUCCCUUCUUAUUUUCAAUGAUUUUUUAGUUUCACCAAGCUGGACAUCAAUUUAAAACACAAUGUUGAGUGAGCUCUUUUUCAUUUUAUUUUUCUAAUUGAAGUAGUAGAAAUCAUGUACAAGAUAUCCUUUAUUGCGUAAUGUAUCUUUUCUUUUCCUCUUUCAUUCUCUUGUGGAUGUGAAAAUCAUCAUUGGUUGUCUAUAGUCUUAGAAUUUCAUGUAUUUAUAAUUUUGGGAAGGUAUCGAUUAUACUCGAUGUCAAAAAAAAAUACAUUUGUUCUGAGGAUCAAAAGAGAGACGAAUCAUGAUAAAAUGAUGGAUAAAUUAGAAUCUAUGUUUUGGAGGAUUUCAACUUUCAACUGGAGUUCACCAUAUAUGGAAGCAUAUAGUUCCUAUAUUUACGGGUUUACGCCUCAGAUGGAAGAUGGCUACUCUGAUUUGCAAUUUUGAGAAGCAGAAAUCUGAAACCUUUUGUGAAUCAAGUAUCAACUCCUGAUUUAUCUACUUUUAUGUUUUGGAAAGUUGAAGGAAUUAUAUGUUAGAGGGGAGACCAUUCAGCAUUGUUCAGUUUCCUUUGUGUUGCUUCUGUAAUUUCUUUAUUUUCUUUUCCUUUUGCAAUGAACUUGUCAUCCUCUAUGUAAAGAAUGUUUCUUGUACUUUUCAUACAUCAAUCACAGUCGAAUUAUGAGUCAAA
Molecule: non-coding RNA, 6733 nt
Organism: Solanum lycopersicum (tomato)
Lineage: Eukaryota; Viridiplantae; Streptophyta; Magnoliopsida; Solanales; Solanaceae
Source: RefSeq, a predicted model, not a curated record